This 85-nucleotide transfer RNA is filed under the name Chlamydiota bacterium. Its description in RNAcentral is "Chlamydiae bacterium tRNA-Leu". It matches the Rfam family "tRNA". From Rfam's summary of the family: Transfer RNA (tRNA) molecules are approximately 80 nucleotides in length. Their secondary structure includes four short double-helical elements and three loops (D, anti-codon, and T loops). Lineage: Bacteria; Pseudomonadati; Chlamydiota. The record is from RNAcentral.
UGCCGAAGUGGCGGAAUGGUAGACGCGGUAGACUCAAAAUCUACUUUAAGCAAUUAAGUGCAGGUUCGAGUCCUGUCUUCGGCAU